RNAcentral lists this ribosomal RNA (459 nucleotides) under uncultured bacterium. Its description in RNAcentral is "partial 16S ribosomal RNA". It matches the Rfam family "Bacterial small subunit ribosomal RNA", at positions 338 to 795 of the family's 1533-position model. The record is from RNAcentral.
CCUACGGGAGGCAGCAGUGAGGAAUAUUGGUCAAUGGCCGGAAGGCUGAACCAGCCAAGCCGCGUGAAGGACGAAGGUACCAAGCAUUGUAAACUUCUUUUGUCAAGGGACAAAAUCAGGCUCGAGAGCCUGACCGAGGGUACUUGAAGAAAAAGCAUCGGCUAACUCCGUGCCAGCAGCCGCGGUAAUACGGAGGAUGCGAGCGUUAUCCGGAUUUAUGGGGUUUAAAGGGUGCGUAGGCGGACUGUUAAGUCAGCGGUAAAAGCCCGGGGCUCAACCCCGGCGAGCCGUUGAAACUGGGUGUCUUGAGAUGUCGAGAGGUAUGCGGAAUGCGCAGUGUAGUGGUGAAAUGCUUAGAUAUUGCGCAGAACUCCGAUUGCGAAGGCAGCAUACCGGCGGCGAUCUGACGCUGAGGCACGAAAGCGUGGGUAUCGAACAGGAUUAGAUACCCCGGUAGUC